This is a long non-coding RNA of Perognathus longimembris pacificus (Pacific pocket mouse), 678 nucleotides long. RefSeq lists it as uncharacterized. The record is from RefSeq and is a predicted model, not a curated record. The transcript is spliced from 3 exons. NCBI's taxonomy places the organism in Eukaryota, Metazoa, Chordata, Mammalia, Rodentia, Heteromyidae.
UGGGACACUAUGAUGACCAGAGACGAGCCAGGAGACAGGACACCAGAAGCAAACAGAGACACGUGGCACAUGCCAUGGCGUGAUGGUGCCCAAGCUGGCCUAAAUAGGGUCGGGUCAGGAGGCUGGGUCACAGGAAGCUCCCAGUCCCAGGCACUUGACUGACAGGUUCAAUAACCUAUAGGUCAAGUGCCCACCUGUCUCUAGGGAUUCAGGAACACCCAUCACCUGGGGAUGGGAUUUCCCUUCCUUUAGGAAUUCAGGCACACCAUCAAGACAAGAUGCUAGAUAGUGCAACUCCCAUGUGGCCAAUGAUGGCGCUGGCCAGAUCUGACCUCCACACUACACUUUCAUGGGAUUACAUUUCUAGCCAGUGAAAUGGGAGGGAGUGGUGAGGACAACUUCUUCCCCAUCCCCAUUGAGAAGCAGCGUGCCUCCGCCCUCCUGUCUCCCUUCCCAGUAGCUAGAAUGGGGAUACUGUGGGCUGUUAUCUUAGACCAUAAGAAUUGGCCAGAGAGGAGUGGGGACCCCUGCCUGCUUCUCACAGCAAUGCUGCUGCCGUGACCAACUUCAGCUUUUCAGUGAGAAAGAAAAUCAUCUUGCUCAACCCAUCAUUAAUUUGGGCUUGAAGGGCUGGGAAUAUGGCCUAGUGGUAGAGUGCUUGCCUCGUAUACAUGAAGC